Molecule: long non-coding RNA, 672 nt
Organism: Mirounga angustirostris (Northern elephant seal)
Lineage: Eukaryota; Metazoa; Chordata; Mammalia; Carnivora; Phocidae
Exons: 3
Source: RefSeq, a predicted model, not a curated record
UUUGAGCUGAGACCAGAAUGAAGUGAGCACAAGCCAAGCGACCGUCUGGGCGAGGAGCUUCGAAAGCAGAGGGAAUAGCAAGGCGAAGGCCCAAGAGUGUGCGGGCAACGGAGCAGAGAGCCGGGUGCAUCUAAGGACCAGCAAUAAUAAAAUCCCCUGCUGCCUUUUCGGGGCUCACGAACACGGUGCUGGAAAUCCCGUCUUCCUGCCGCUGGUGCGACCGGGUGCGGCUCAUCUGUCGGGUUCUUGUCGACGGGGCCAUGAGUGGAAACCAUUUCUGCUACUGCUACUUCUUGGUUCGGUGCUCACAGGGAACUUCCAAUGGUUUUAGGAGCUCUGUGCCAGGAACUGGGAUAAAGAACAAGUAUGUUUCUUAUUAUAAAUCACAAUAUCACGUCUACUACAGGACUUAGUAUCCUUAACACAUGCUAACAUGUGUUUAAUCUCCAAGAGGAGCAACAUCCAAAAUGGCGUGCCUCGGAACACUGAGACCCUGCUUCCUGGAGCCCUCCAAGUCCAGGACACAGUGAAAAGCCGCGAAGUCUGGUCACGGCCACAGAAGUCUGUUCUGGGCAUUUCGUUGGAGUGAGACUGCUCCUCCCACAUUCAGUUGAGAAAUGGGCCUUGAGACAGGACAGUUCCUGCAGGCAACUUUCUUGGAAGCAAUUCACU